UUCGUCAAUCUCGUUGUUGGUUUCGUAGUCAACAUUGCUAUGGGGUUCGCAUCUUCUAUUUACUCACUUUAAAUUGAGUAACUAUUUCCCUCCCUUUCCUGCUAGGAUUGGAAAUCCUGUAUUUUACAUAUCCAUACGAUUGAGUCCUUCGGUUUCCAAAAUAAUGUAAAAAGAAGUGCUUCGAAUCAUUGCUAUUUUACUCGGAUCUAUUCUCAAAAAGUCGAGGUUUUUCAAAUUGUUUGUUGACAUGGAUAAAGUCAAGGAAACCUCUAAAAUUAUUUCCAUAAUGAACCUUGGACAUGUAAGAGUUCUGAAUCGAAUCUCGUUAGAAAGAAGAUCUUUUGUCUCAUGAUAGCCUGUUCCAGUUCCCUUACGAAAUUUUCGUUAUUGGGUUAGCCAUACACUUCACAUGUUUCUAGCAAUUCACAUGGCAUCAUCAAAUGAUACAAGUCUUAGAUAAGAAUCUAUAACGCACUAGAAUGCCCUUGUUAAUGAUCUUUUAGUCCGACAGCAUCUAGGGUUCCUCGAACAAUGUGAUAACUUACACCGGGUAAAUCCUUAACCCUUCUCCCUCUUACUAAGACUGAAGAAUGUUCUUGUAAAUUAUGUUCAAUAUUGGGUAUAUAAGCAGUCAUUUCAAAUCCAGAGGUUAAUCGUACUCUGGCAACUUUACUUAAGGCAGAGUUUGGUUUUUUUUGGUUGAUAGUAGAAAAGUUGACAGAUAAGUCACCCUUAUUGCCCCUCUAUAGAACCGUACAUGAUAUUUUCACCUCAUAUGGCUCCUCGUUCAAUUCUCUCGAAUUCAUUGGAUCCUUUUCCGUGUUCAAGAAUCCCCUCCCUUCUUCAACUCUGUCCCGAAGAGUAACUAAGACCAUUUAGUCACAUUUUCAUGUUCCAAUUGAACACUUUCCAUUUUUGAUUAUUUUCAAAAGAGAAGAUUAUUCUCUUUACCAAAACAUAUGUGGAUCCAAUCACGAUCCUAUAAUAAGAACAAGAGAUCUUUCUCGAUCUAUCCCUUUGCCCCUUAUUCUUCGAGAAUUACAAAGAUCCUUUUCAAGUUUGAAUUUGUUCAUCGGGAAUCUGAGUUCUUCUACUUCAUUCUUUAUUUAAUAUUUUUCCAUCUCUUUUUUUUUAAAUCAUUCCUUAAGUCUCAUAGGUUCGAUCCUAUAGAAUUUGACCCAUUUUCUCAUUCAACGAAGGGUACGAAACCAAUUUGAUUAUUUUUUCUAUCAAAAGUACUAUGUGAAAUCUUCAAUUUUUUCCUCUUCCUCUAUCCCUAUCCCACAGGUAUAGUGUUUGAAUCGAUAGAGAACCUUUUCUUCUGUAUGAAUCAAUCUUAUUCCAUUCCAAUUCCUUCCCUAUACCUCCGAAGGAAAAUAUCGAAUGGAUCCCAAAUUGGCAGAUUAGUGUGAGCUUAUCCAUGCGAUUAUGCCCUCUUCGAAUAGGAAUCUAUUUUCUGAAAGAUCCUAGCUUUCGUACUUUGGUGGGUCUCCGAGAUCCUUUCGAUAAUCUA
This 1513-nucleotide long non-coding RNA is filed under the name Olea europaea subsp. europaea. The record is from RNAcentral. Lineage: Eukaryota; Viridiplantae; Streptophyta; Magnoliopsida; Lamiales; Oleaceae.